Molecule: ribosomal RNA, 483 nt
Filed under: uncultured bacterium
Lineage: Bacteria
Description: partial 16S ribosomal RNA
Rfam family: Bacterial small subunit ribosomal RNA
Source: RNAcentral
AUUGAACGCUGGCGGCAGGCCUAACACAUGCAAGUCGAGCGGAUGAAGGGAGCUUGCUCCUGGAUUCAGCGGCGGACGGGUGAGUAAUGCCUAGGAAUCUGCCUGGUAGUGGGGGAUAACGUCCGGAAACGGGCGCUAAUACCGCAUACGUCCUGAGGGAGAAAGUGGGGGAUCUUCGGACCUCACGCUAUCAGAUGAUCCUAGGUCGGAUUAGCUAGUUGGUGGGGUAAAGGCCUACCAAGGCGACGAUCCGUAACUGGUCUGAGAGGAUGAUCAGUCACACUGGAACUGAGACACGGUCCAGACUCCUACGGGAGGCAGCAGUGGGGAAUAUUGGACAAUGGGCGAAAGCCUGAUCCAGCCAUGCCGCGUGUGUGAAGAAGGUCUUCGGAUUGUAAAGCACUUUAAGUUGGGAGGAAGGGCAGUAAGUUAAUACCUUGCUGUUUUGACGUUACCAACAGAAUAAGCACCGGCUAACUUCGU